This 632-nucleotide ribosomal RNA is filed under the name uncultured delta proteobacterium. RNAcentral's name for it is "bacterial SSU rRNA". It matches the Rfam family "Bacterial small subunit ribosomal RNA", at positions 909 to 1532 of the family's 1533-position model. The record is from RNAcentral. Lineage: Bacteria; Deltaproteobacteria.
AUUGACGGGGGCCCGCACAAGCGGUGGAUCAUGUGGUUUAAUUCGAAGCAACGCGAAGANCCUUACCUAGGUUUGACAUCCUCUGACAACCGUAGAAAUACGGCUUUAGUAGCAAUACUACAGAGAGACCAGGUGCUGCAUGGCUGUCGUCAGCUCGUNUGGUGACAUGUUGGGUUAAGUCCCUUAACGAGCGCAACCCUUGUCCUUAGUUGCCAUCAUUCAGUUGGGCACUCUAAGGAGACUGCCGUUGUUAAAACGGAGGAAGGUGGGGAUGACGUCAAGUCCUCAUGGCCUUUAUAUCUAGGGCGACACACGUGAUACAAUGGUCGGUACAAAGAGAAGCAAAUGGGUGACCACAAGCAAAUCUCAAAAAACCGAUCUCAGUUCGGAUUGAAGUCUGCAACUCGACUUCAUGAAGGUGGAAUCGCUAGUAAUCGCGGAUCAGAACGCCGCGGUGAAUACGUUCCCGGGCCUUGUACACACCGCCCGUCACACCAUGGGAGUUGACUCAACUCAGAAAACGAUCAUGGCUAAUCCGCAAGGAGGCCUUCGUUGAAGGUGGGGUUGAUGACUAGUGGGUGAAGUCGUAACAAGGUAUGCCGUAUCGGAAGGUGCGGCUGGAUCACCUCCUU